Molecule: non-coding RNA, 84 nt
Organism: Daucus carota subsp. sativus
Lineage: Eukaryota; Viridiplantae; Streptophyta; Magnoliopsida; Apiales; Apiaceae
Source: Rfam
AUGAUGUGUUUAAUUGACAGAGUUGAAUGCUCUUACAAUGAUUUGAGUAUUGUGAUUCUCACUCAGUAUAGGAAGAUCUGAUGC